CCACUGGCAAGUCCCGGCUCCACCUAGGACUGCAGCGAGCGCCUUUUCAAGCCAGCGGCCCUCUGAACGGCUGAGCAACGAAAGGGCGGCGGGGGCGGCGGCGCCUAACCGCUUCGCCUACUCGAGCCGGACGCGAGCGGCAUGGGGCAGCUCCUCCUCCUUCACUGGGGAACAGAAGAUCCGCCGCCCUGGUCCCUGAUUUUUCCCGUGCUCGUGGUGGGUGGGCGAGCAACAGUCGGUAGAUUCUCCUCCAAUUCGCGUUGUGUGGUUGCUUGCUAAUGCUUUGUCGCUCAGAUUUUUUUUUCUCACAGCUCCACUAAUCGCUGGAAUCUGUGGAUCACGCAUGUAUGAGUCUCGUAUACACUGCUGCGCUAGUUCGCUUCUAAUUGCCAUCUGGAACACUGGGAUUUUCUUUUGCUGAAUUCGUGGAACGCUUCAGAUGCAUAGCGGUACCACAUUUCAGGUGUUAGUCAAAUGAGCUGAGAGGUUCAUAAUGUCAAUGUCACAUUAUGUUUUUCUCUAUAUCGGUGGAGUCGGGAGAUGGACUCUUUUUGUCAAUGAUGAGAAUAUUGCUUUCAGAACAUUUAGUCUGAAGAUCUUAGCAGACAACGUACACAUCUACUGCCUCCGACCCACAAUAUAAGAUGUUAUUACAACCAAUUGUAGUAACAUCUUGUAUUAUCGGAUGGAGGGAGUAUUUGAGAAUUGAGAUAUAUACAUCAAUAUCGCUGCGAAAACUGGCUUUUGGUGCCAAAGUUGAAUAUGCGUUCACUAAUUUGUGCUUGGUGACCACCUUUCCUUCCUUGCCUGUUGAUAUGCAGAGUUAGGGCCUCUUUGAUUCACAUGAUUCUCAGAAUGCAGGAAUAGGAAAAACGUAGGAAUAGAGUGUCAUGUCCUUUUAUACCCUACAGGAUUUGGAAGCGUGUUUGAUAACACAGAAAAAACAAAGGAAUUCUACAAAGAGGUUUGAGUGGAUCUGUGGAACUAUCCGAAGAAAUUAAUGAAGAAGUGGAAGGGUGCUCUGUGCUCGGCCGUGCCACAUUAAGCAACUGGUGCUUGGACUACCCUUUAGAGCUUGGCUGCUCAGUUGAUUUGUUUUAUUAUCCUUCUGCACAUUCAUUUGCAUGUCAUGAAAAAUUCUUGAAAUGCACUCAUUUUUUUUAAUCAAUAUAGUUGGCCAAUUUUGUAAAAUAGUUGCAUGUUCAGUUGUUAUGCAGCUUACAUAUGGGACAUUUGUUAUUUUGUGUUUUUACAUAUUCAUACUUCUAUUCCUGUAGUGAAGAUAACUGAUAGAUACCAGUUAUGUUAUUUUCUGCUUGAGGCAUAACUUCAGCUUUCCUUCCCACAUUUUUUUGACUCACUUUAGAGUAUUCAAAUUGACCAGUUUAAACCUUUAUCAUAUCUUUAGUAUAAACUGUCCCAUGCAAGAAAUGCCUCCCCACUAAUCUCUUUUCCCCCGACCAGAAAGAAGAAGCACAAGCUCACACAUACCACCACCAUUUAUAGAUACAAACUGCUAAACACUUUCUAAAUAAUCAUUUGGAAAAAAGCUUUAAGAGGAUUUACAUAGAUAAUACCUUAAGUGUAGGAACCAUUCCACCGUUGGGCCUGCAAUUUUGCACUUUCUAAAUUAUCAUUUGGAAAGAAGCUUUAAGAGGAUUCGCAUAGAUAAUACCUUAAGUGUAUGAACCGUCCCACCGUUGGGCCUGCAAAUAGCAGUGUGCCAUAAAAGAGCAAGAUCAAAGCAGGGUUUAUACUGAAUGGCAGGGCAAUUCUCCUUUGGCAGGGACGGCGAUACCAUAGUCCCUUGUCUAGGACCUGCUACAUUGGCAUCCAUGCCAGAGGAGAACUGCACUGUGAUUCUCACCCUGAACACUCCAUACUCAACAUUGGUCUAGUUGUUUGUGGGAGAAAGACCAUUUGUCUGUUUUUAGUAGCAAAUUGCUCUUCAUGUUACACUUUCAUGCACCAUGUGCUUCUUGCCAUUCACUGCAUGUUACCGUGGCAAAUAUAUAUAGGGCAGAAAUGAGCAAGAAAAUCUGGAUAUGCUGCUGGAUAUGCUUCCAGAUCAGGACAAUGCUUCCGAGAGCUUGCUAUGAACAAAAACAAACUGGGUACACUGUACAAAGCUUGAGCUUGAGAAAGUGGUUAAUACAUACUACUACCGCAACCAGAAACGAUUUUGCACAACUACAAACCAGAGGCAUAAUGUCGAAACGAAGAUUAUUGUUUUGCUAUAUCGAAGAGCAUGCCUGUGCACACUGUGCAAGUCGAGACAUCAAGGAUGCGCAUGGCUGAAUUAUUAAACGAAAGAAAGAAAAGGCAGAGCGAUCAACUAAACGCAACAACAAACAUCAACAUCAACAUCAACCACCGCCAUUGACCACACCCAAACUACAAGAGAGGUUCUCCAAAAACAGAUGCCACCACUGCCACUUUGCUAGUGAUGUUUGUUCAAAAAUGACCUUGAAUUAGCUAGCUUGAAUGGCUCACAAGUUACAAAAUUCAUUUUUUCGAAAAGGAACUUACAUAAUUUAUGGAGAAGACAUUUGCAGUAUCUUCUUUUAUUGAUUCAUUCAGCUACUUCCUUAACCACACAUAAACACAAUCAAAGGUCAAGCAGAUUUUGUUCUUUUUUCAUGGAUGGAGGACCAUUUAUAUUA
Hordeum vulgare subsp. vulgare (domesticated barley) is the source of this 2663-nucleotide long non-coding RNA. RefSeq lists it as uncharacterized. The transcript has 2 exons. The record is from RefSeq and is a predicted model, not a curated record. NCBI's taxonomy places the organism in Eukaryota, Viridiplantae, Streptophyta, Magnoliopsida, Poales, Poaceae.